UACAGAGGGUGCAAGCGUUAAUCGGAAUUACUGGGCGUAAAGCGUGCGUAGACGGUUAUGUAAGUCGGGUGUGAAAGCCCCGGGCUCAACCUGGGAAUUGCAUUCGAGACUGCAUAGCUAGGGUGCGGAAGAGGGAAGCGGAAUUUCCGGUGUAGCGGUGAAAUGCGUAGAUAUCGGAAGGAACACCAGUGGCGAAAGCGGCUUCCUGGUCCAGCACCGACGUCAGGCACGAAAGCGUGG
This 240-nucleotide ribosomal RNA is filed under the name uncultured bacterium. Its description in RNAcentral is "partial 16S ribosomal RNA". It matches the Rfam family "Bacterial small subunit ribosomal RNA", at positions 524 to 764 of the family's 1533-position model. The record is from RNAcentral.